GACGAACGCUGGCGGCGUGCUUAACACAUGCAAGUCGAACGGAAAGGCCCUGCUUUUGUGGGGUGCUCGAGUGGCGAACGGGUGAGUAACACGUGAGUAACCUGCCCUUGACUUUGGGAUAACUUCAGGAAACUGGGGCUAAUACCGGAUAGGAGCUCCUGCUGCAUGGUGGGGGUUGGAAAGUUUCGGCGGUUGGGGAUGGACUCGCGGCUUAUCAGCUUGUUGGUUGGGUAGUGGCUUACCAAGGCUUUGACGGGUAGCCGGCCUGAGAGGGUGACCGGCCAAAUUGGGACUGAGAUACGGCCCAGAAUCCUACGGGAGGCAGCAGUGGGGAAUAUUGCACAAUGGGAGGAAGCCUGAUGAAGAAACGCCGCGUGCGGGAUGACGGCCUUCGGGUUGUAAACCGAUUUCGCCUGUGACGAAGCGUGAGUGACGGUAAUGGGUAAAGAAGCACCGGCUAACUACGUG
Molecule: ribosomal RNA, 468 nt
Filed under: uncultured bacterium
Lineage: Bacteria
Description: partial 16S ribosomal RNA
Rfam family: Bacterial small subunit ribosomal RNA
Source: RNAcentral